Molecule: long non-coding RNA, 4145 nt
Organism: Globicephala melas (long-finned pilot whale)
Lineage: Eukaryota; Metazoa; Chordata; Mammalia; Artiodactyla; Delphinidae
Source: RefSeq, a predicted model, not a curated record
GUGGCGGCUGGGGGCUGCGAGAAAGCUCAGGAGAAGACAGCAACUUCUGGGUUCCCAUGGCCCACAAGAGCUCGGCUCCUGCUCGAGACCCGGGAAGGAAAACAGAAAGUUGCUUCCCAUCCAAGAAUUUCCAAAUCUGCCGGAUGAUCAGUAGCCCUUGGUUAGAAACCAAGACCCCAGGUUCCCAGGGUCUGCUGCUGCCUUAGCAGCAGGGUUUGCUGCUGCCUUAGCAAAUCAAAAUCUCCGCGGCGAGGAUCCGGAGUCUGCAUUUAACCAGACAGCUGGGAUUUCGAUAAGGAUUGCCUCCAAUCUGGAAAUCAGUUGGCACAGGGAUUGUCCAGUGGAACCUUCUGGGACACUCCAGUCCUGGGCAGUUCCUAUAGCUGCUGUCAGCUGUACUUUCCUUCCCCAAGAGACUUGGACAACUUGAGUGAUGGGAGACGGCGUGGUGACAAUAACGGACAUGGAAAUUGCCAGGUAAGACUUUGUUGCUCAAGUAACAGUCUAAGGUGGGUCAGGUUUAGGGUGAGGUGUAGGGUGCUCUGCAUCACAGUCAUUCAAGGAUCUAAGUUGCUGGCAGGUAUCGACAUCCAGUGGCACAUAAAGGCUCACACACAGUCCAGGGCUUAGAAGUGCUACAGGUCACUUCCCAUUCAAAUUCCAAUGGCCAGAAUUCAGGAAUACGACCAUACCUACGUACAUGAGGGCUGGGAAAUGUAGUCUAAUUCUGUGCACAGCAUAAAGAAGAAAUGGUUUUGGAGAUCCCCUGCCAGCCUCUGCCACAAGAAAUUUGCAACAAUGGGAGAUUUAGAGUGAAAUGUAUAUAAUGCCUCCCUAGCCCUUCUGAGACAGGCAUGGUCCUUUGGGGCAGACUUCCCUGAGAGGCAGCUUUCUAGCUAUGAUUCCUUGGACUUGUUAAUAGUGUUUGGUUCACGUUACAGCUGAUGUUCUAGCAAGAUCAUGCAUGGAGUAUCCAGCAUCAAGUAAGUGCAAAGCUGACUGACACUUCUCAUUAUAAAUUAGCAAGUUGGUUUGGGCAUAAAUCAGUCUUGAGUGUACUUAGUGUGACCCUGUUGCUCAUAGUUAAGCUGAUCAUCAUCGCUGUGUAUGUGCUGAUCAGAAAUGUCAAGCUCAUGACUAUGGAGGUAAAAGCAACCUUGAGAUUAUUCUAACUCUCUACCUGCUUCCCAUUAAACAAGAAAUUCAGCAUUACAAAUGGUAAACAAAUUGAGUGUGUAGCAUUAAAUAUUCAAUGCCAGAAGGCUCAUUUAAAAUAAUUUGUGUAAUUUAUCGUCUCACACCAAAACCCAUGAUACAAUUACUUUUGGUGCCUUUUAAUCUGAUUCUUUAUGGCAAGUAGUAGAUCUAUGACUAUAGGGCAGUAAUCCUUUCCUAUUUCACCUUGUCAAUAUUUUAGAGGAAACGAGCUGGAAGAAUUGUUGAAAGAGGGCACCUAGCGGAUGAGGCAAAGCCCUACAGAUAGAGUGUCUAGAAAAGUCCUAGUUAACACCCAUUGCUGUGACAUAGUCACUAAAAACACCCCCUUUCACUCUCAAAAAGAGUCCCGGUUUGGACAAUAAAUUAUACAUAAACCCUUAGAACCAGGGAGUAGUACCUCUCUGUGGCCACCACUGUUCAGGGUCUGGUUUGCAGCUUUACAGAACCAGCACAAGGGUUAUCAGGACACUGAGGCUGAUUGAGCAUGGGAGCGAGCCGAUUCACAUCGAGGAAAUGACAGGAGACUGAUCCCUAAACCAGGAUGCUGUGUUUUUAACUUAUUACGAAGAAUAUAACUGCCAGAGUGGAAACCAAUGUUCGUUUGUCAGUACGUUCCCUCCCUUGAAGUGUAUAGUCUCCUUGGAAAGCUCAGAACUCUUGGAAUUAUCAAAAUCAUAAUUCUUGUGGAUGAGGAGAUCAAGGUGAGCCAUGUUAGCUGGAGGAACUACAGUAAUUGGCAAGACAGGUUUUAAUACUUGGUAUCUACACAAAGCAUAUCCUGUGUCCUACUAAGGGUUUUCCUUUGCAACCAGGAAAGCGGCUUGGGUUCUCUUUCCAAAGAGAUAUUUGGGAUCAGCAUCAGCUACAGGUAAAGAAGAAGGAUGUGUGGUUCCAAGCAAUCCUCUGUUCUUUUCUAAUAUUAUGUCCCAAGUUCCCUCACCCAUCUACAAGGGCUGUCAGGGCCGAUGUCAGUGGCAGACAUCCUCUGAUGCCUGAGGUUCAGCCGGGAGCAGCCUCCCCGACUCCUUCCUCGCUUGCAACACUGGAAGUGACAGAUCUAAACAGUCUUGCGUGUACUUAGUGUGAAUCCUGCACCACUCCCCAUCUCAUGCCCCACUUCCCCAUAGACAACAGACACAUGGCCAGAAGAGGAUUAAAAUCGGCUUUAUUGAUGAAUUGAAGAGCACAGCUGGGAUCUGAGGCCCAAGCGAGGCUUCUUUCAUCCUCUCUGAAGUGGUGACAGCUGAGGGCAGUGGGUGGGGCUCACCAAACUUACCCACCCUGCCACAGACCGAGGCUGGAACGUGGAGAGCUGAGUCCUGGGUGGGCCCACCACAGGCAGGUCCUGCUGGGUCUGUUUACGGCAUGGAGACUGGAAGCCCAAAAGCAGGUCCAAGAGAAAGAGAGAGAGAGAGAGAGAGAAGCAGGAGGACAAGUAAGCAGGGUCCUUUAGCACAUUAUCUCCACCCAGUAGAGAAAGGCGGCCCCAAGAGUCUCAAGUUCAUCAGCCACAACCAUCCCGAGGUCACCCAGGUGGAAGCUUCUCCCCAGUCCUUUCCUUCCAAGCUGAAAUGUAGUUAGGAGAGCUUUACCCUAAUCGGCUGAGCAAGGAGUGUAUGAAUAAGGAAAAGGGUUUCUCCCACGAGGUGAGGCUGGGUUAGGAGCCUGGGCUGCUCAGUGAACAAGUGGCCAAAGGCCAUUUUGUGUGAGCCUCCCAGUGUGCAGCCACUAACACAAACAGGUGCUGGCUCGGGACUGACUCCUGAUACCUCACACCUGAACACUGACCACUGGAUUCCUUUUCUUUCCUGUGCUCUGGAGCUCAGACCCCUGAGGACUGCUGAGGAAGAACUUGACAGACUUCGCCCACCCGCCAACCCCCGGAUGGGUGAAAUGGAUGAAGGCGAUCAAAAGCUCACUGGACAGAUGUCUGAAAGAAAAAUUGCUUGGUCAAAAGGAAGAACAACUAACAACCAUUCACGGACAAGACAUCACUGAGAAAAUCCUAAAACAUGGAAGUGAGGCUGAAGUACCCUCUUGUACCACAGAGACCAAGACAGACUGCAUUGGGAGGAUUCCAUAAGGAGGCAAGAACGUACAAUGGAGAAAAGACAGCCUCUUCAAUAAGUGGUGCUGGGAAAACUGGACAGCUACAUGGAAAAGAAUGAAAUUAGAACACUUCCUAACACCAUACACAAAAAAUAGACUCCAAAUGUAUUAAAGACCUAAAUGUAAGACCAGACACUAUAAAACUCUUAGAGGAAAACACUUUUUGACAUAAACCACAGCUAUAAUUUUUAAAACCUGAACAUAACAAGUGUUGGUUAAGGGUGAGGAGAAACUGGAACCCUUGAACAUUGCUGAUAGGAUUUUAAAAUGGUUCAGCUGCUAUAGAAAACAGUUUGGCAGUUCCUCAAGUCAAACAGAGUUACCAUACGAUCCAGCACUUCUACUCCAAGGUAUAUACUCCAAAGAAUUAAAAACAAGUCCUCAGACAAAUACUUGUACAAAAAUGUUCAAAGCAGCAGUAAUCCAAUAGUAAAAAGUUGGAAACAACCCAAACAUCCAUAAACGGAUGACUAGAUAAAAUGUGGUUUAUCCAUAUAAUAAUAUUAUUCAAUCAUUAUAGACAUGAUACAACAUGGAUGAAUGUCAAAAACAUGCUGAGUGGAAGUAGACAGACACAGAAGCUUACAUAACAUAUAAUUCCAUUUAUCUCCAUAUGAAAUAUCCAGAACAGGUAAAUUCAUAGAGACAGGAAGCAUACUGGUGGUUGCCAGGGGCUGAGGGAGGAAAUGAAUGGGGAGUGUCUGCUUAACGGGUACCAGGUUUCCUUUUAGGGUGAUGAAAAUGUUUUGGAACUAGAGAGAGGUGUUAGUUGCAAAGCUGUGAAUGUACUAAAUGGUACUAUAUUUUUCAUGUUAAAA